This 7656-nucleotide long non-coding RNA is filed under the name Fragaria vesca (wild strawberry). Its description in RNAcentral is "long non-coding RNA (FVES_LNC001748)". Lineage: Eukaryota; Viridiplantae; Streptophyta; Magnoliopsida; Rosales; Rosaceae. The record is from RNAcentral.
ACCCCAAAUAUGACAGCAGACCCAUCAAGCCAUGGCCGCAAUACUUCACCUGAGACUGCGGCGAGUGUCAUAGCUCCCCACUAACCAAAACGACCCCAAAGCCAAGAAGCCAAGAACACUGUAGAAUUAACCCUUCAACUAAGGAUUGAGUACAACUUAUCAACCCUAUAUUUGCAUAACACACGAAUCUGCAUUAUUUAGCUUAAAGCUUAUACGUAUGUGUUCUAAACUAAGAUGAUACUUCAUAUACUUGAACUGCAUUUACAGUGUUCUCAAGUCCCACAAGCUGCACAUUUUCAGGAAAAAAAAAGACCCAGAAGAUGCAAUACUUACACACACUUCCCCAACUGGCCGGGUCACUCAUAAAACUGUAAAACCAUAGAUAGCUAGCUCAGAGGCAACAGGAACUAAACACAGGCCACAUUUAAAACUACAACUGCAAUCAUCCAAAGAUUCUAUACUAGAGAAACAUAUAGCAGAUCACAAAACACAAAGGCCACAUUUAAGAUUCAAAUGUUACAUUUGUGCCCAUGAUCAGAAUAAUCAGAUAUAUGUACCUGAUCAUCUGAAAUUCGCUCGACAUCUAUGACACCAUAAGUGACAUUAGGUAUAAAUAAUGCUCCUGCAGCCAUCAAAAUAUGGUUCCCAACUGACACGACCCACCCCAAAUUUCACCCUGAAACCCAGAGUAAGUCGUGCGGGGACCAACUCCAAGGAAAAUUUUACCGAAAAAUCGGCAUAACCUCCCUUGAAAAUGGACAACCCUUCCUAAUAAUACCUGCAAACACUUCUGAAAAUUUAAAUCCAACCUUAAACUCCUGGAGCCUCCGUGCUCCCCAAAUCACAACACCACCCAAAUUAUUUACUAAUCUAAACAAAUCUCAUAUCCAACCAUUUAUAGGUUCAGAGCAACUCUAACAAGAAGAAAGAAAACAUAAUAAAUUAACAAACGGAAGCUAUAUGAUGACUAUGCCUCAUCCCCAUGUACGUCCGACCUCAACUAUGCAAUCCUGCAAACUGGGCAUUUUUAAAACGAAGAGCCCAGGGGAAAACAUUUGAAACACGUUAGAGUGAGUGGACAAAAACAAAUUAACGAAUAAAAUAUUUAUGUUUCCCCAAAUCAAUUUCCAAGAAAAAUCGAAUGCAUGCUGCAAGCGAUAAAACUUUUAUCUCAUAAAUGUCGAGCCUCUCAGGCUCUAUAAUAUAUGUAUGUAUUUACACACGUCCUAUACUUCCCUAAUAUAAAUUCCAUAAGUACGUACUAAUAUAGGCUACUACGCUACGCGUCCAAACGUCUCACGUUCAACGCCUUUAAUAGCGGUGCUACACUACGCCAUUAAGGUGGAACAGACGGGUUGUUAUAAAUAUCGUGUCCAUACCCCUAUAUGAAUUAAACACUCAUAUAGGGCUACUACGCUCGCGUCCAACUCUCACGUCACACCAUAAUGCAGCUAUAUGCUACGCCAUUAAGGUGGACAGACACAUAGGACUAGCUAGCAUUUUUAUACAUACUCUCCUCAUAAACACAUAUUUAUAUUCACCGAAAAUCCCAUUUUCGGUAACUCUCCAAGAGAAAUAAAAUCAUAAAAAUAAAAUGACGUCAAAAUGCUACACAACAAUAAUUGUUCAUCUAUGAACUAUAGCAUGCAUUUUAUUUAAAACAAAGGUCCACUCACAACUCUAGGCAUAAGCCCGAUGAAAUCCAAAUCGCCACUCCAGAGAGGUUUCUUCCAACCCUGGCACAAAUAUAAAAUUAAUUUCCCAACUAAAACUCCAAUAUUUAAACAAAAUAGGCAAAAUUAACCGAGAGCCAUAACUACGCUCAUCAUUGCCUAACUUCGAUAUUCUUAAAUCGAAACGAUCCGAACUUAAAUAUCAUACUCAGCAGCCGUACGUAAUUACAACCUCCCAAAAAAUACGACUUAAAUCCUACGGCCGGAUUCUACAUUAAUUAACCGCCAAAAAUACCACACUUCGGAAAUUCAUAAACCUAUCCAAAACUCAUCCAAAAAUUCCAUAACUCACUUCAAAAAACUCCCCUUAAUAUUCUAAAUUUAAAACCCUAAAAAUCUUCCAAACAGUGGCGGCGCCGGCAGCGGCGCCCGGAGGCCAAUUCCGGCGACCUCCGAUUCCUAUGAAAUUUUGACAGCAUCUUCCUCUCAUCAUGCUCUACAACUUUCCUAACUAGCACAAACCCAAAAUCCAAGCCUAACUAGGUCAAACGAGCAAAAACAUCCUAGAACUUCCACCUCUAAUUUCUCCUUACCUGAAGCGAACCGGAGUGAGCCCUUUUAGGGCAAGGUAGCUGGGUUGGAGACCUUCAAAACCGUACCAAGCUUGCCCGGAUUGGUGGCCGGAGGAGGGAGUUCCGGCGAAGUGAAGCUUUGGACAGUCAGACCUUUCGGGUGGCACCGCUCUCUCACGGCGGAGCUAGGGCUCCUCUCACCGGUCCAGGGAGGUUGCUGGGUUGGAGGUCGACCGAACGGGACUGGUGCGGCGGCGGUUGGUGGCCGGACGGCGGCGGGAGGACGGCCGGAAAACCGGGCAGCGGGAGGAGCUCGGGGAGAGAGAAAACCGGGAAGAAAAAAAAAGAGAAGGGAGAAAAUGGCUUUGGGCCUCCUCCCCCAAAACCGGUCCAACUUAAUACCCAUUUAAAACAAACCCAACUCCAAAAAUAAAACACCCCGAAAAAUAAUACUCGAAUAAAAAUUACCUUUUACUAGCUAAAAUUUACCAUUUUUACCGUCGUCAUAUUUUCCUCCUACGAAUAAUCCUCUGAGCAUAACCGUCCCCGAAACCCCUCUAGGGACCAAUUAAACUAUAACUUCAAUGAUAGAGACAGUAAAAUUCUUAUUAUAACCAAGCUAGUAAAUAAGGUAAAAAUUUACGGAUCGGGAUGUGACAAUUCUCCCCUCCUUAUAAAAAUUUCGUCCUCGAAAUUUACAUACCUGACAUUCGAAGAGAUAGGGAUACUGCUACCUCAUUUGCUCCUCUGAUUCCCAAGUAGCUUCUUCUACUUGGUGACUCCUCCACAGAAUUUAACAAGAGGAAAAGAUUUGCUUCUAAGCAGUUGCUCCCUCUGGUCUAAAAACUGAACCGGAUCCUCAUCAAAGGUCAAAUCUUUCUACAAAAUAAUCGGCUGCUCUUGCAACCCAUGAGAGGAAUCGGCAAUAAACUUGCGAAGCAUGGAUACAUGAAACACAUUAUGUAUCCUGGAUAACUCUGGAGGCAAAACUAACUGAAACGCAAGAGAGCCAACUUGAUCUAAAAACCCAUAAGGACCAAUAAAUCUCGGACCAAGCUUUGCACGUUACUAAAACGUACCACCCCUUUCCAAUGAGACAAUUUUGAAAACACCCAAAAUACUCACUUGAAACUCAUGGUCCUUCCUGCGAACAUCUUUAAAACUCUACUAGCUACUAAGAGCUGCUUUGAGUCUAACUCUGACUCCUUUAACCUUUUCAUCUGAAUCCUGAAUUAUUUUAAAUCUUCUCGAAGACUCUAAGUCCUUCGUUGAACUACCACUAACGUUAACACGUAAGUGAGUUCAGUGAUACCUAUUCCAGAGUACGAGUACCCAUAGGUAUGCACACUCUUUCCUGAGCAAUGGAAAUAGCUAAUCCAAAUAAAACGCAUAAAUUUGCUAUCACCAUCGGGCUCAAAUCUCCUAACGUCACGCAACAACCUCGAUAGCACGCUGCUCACAACUCGACAAUGAAGCUCACUUGCUAGGAAACUAAAGUUCACAUAUUCCCACAUGCUUAUAGGGGUCAAAAUUAAGACCCGCUAAUUGAACAGAUUUUUAAGGAUGCAGACACUAUAGAACUGCAACAAUCACUCCUACUACUGAGACACCUCGCAGAGUCUUUCGCGGAGCCAAAGCUCUCGCAAGUCCACAAGAUAACCUUGCUCUGCCUAAAUGACCAGUCCACCAACAUAUGAUAACCUCGAUUGCCGAAAUAACAUUAUGAAAAGAUCAAUACCACGACACUUAGAUCUCUCCACCAAAACUAUUACAUUACCAUUUUCUGCACCACAAACUAGCAACUUAUGGGAAUUUCCAACUCUCUCCUGAUUCUGCUAUCUCCACUAUUAUUUACCAAAAACCAGAACAUAAUCUGAAGCAUGACUAACACGUGGAAACUAGAUAUUCCUCCUUGCUUGCCAUAAACAAAAAAACUAAUUAAUGCCCACGAAGAUUGGCACAAUCAAUUCAUGAUGCUAACUUGACGUUGAAAUCCACGUAAAAAGAACACCUUCUUUUAAGCAUUGACAAAAUUUACAUCUCCAGCCAUGCUACUUAUUCGGGUGCAACUGCGACCCCAAAAGCAAUCAUUAAAAAAAAACACACGGCUCACUCUAGCCGUUCCAUAAGAAUGAUUCUAAAUGCCAAAACCUUUGGAUCCGACAAACACAUUUCUUUUUCUACCUCCAUAAAUAAUUAAUCUGAUAGAAGAAGACGAUCUGAAAAAUCAGACACGCUCAAGUCUCCUACACAUCACAGGGCCAUGACUUCCCACCAAAAAGAUUCUUCGAAAACCGAGCUUGCAAUAACAUGCGACUAACAAAAGCAAAGAUAAAUUUUUAUACAAGACCUCCCAAAUCAUACUUGGAUCAAUGAGUGGUCCCACCACAAUACGAUCCCGAGAAGAGACGCUGAUCAACCUAUCAAAAACUACUACUCUCAAUAUUAAAACUCUUAAUAAAACUUGACUCUAGACGCUUCUUGAGUCAACAGGGGAAAACCCUCUUCCAUAAUGCUACAUCAUGAAAUAUACCUACAACAACACAAACCAUGAAAUCAACAUCACCAUGCAACUCUUAAACUACCACAUAGGAUUUACAGCAUCAAGACUCAUUGCUUAAAUGAACUCCAGCUCACUUGGAAUCACCACUGGAUUUAUUCCGGAUCCAUGACUACGACACAACUACCAAUUUAUCAUUUACCUCAAAACUUUGAAAAAUAACCAGAAUCUCUACCCUUCAAAUCGAAGCGUUAAAUCCGCAUUCCAAAAUUUCAAGCUCUGAGGCUGCUACCCAAAAACUACAAUAGGAAUAAUUUAAAUAUUCUCAUACACACCACAACCAAAACUUUACUCCAUCUCACCAAAUUAGAAAUAAGGUGAGAACAGAUCCUCCCAUUGUUGUGUCGUAGUUAGUCACCCAUUGCGACGAAGUGAUGCCAAAAACCAACUUCGAUCACAAAUUUGAGACUUACAUCAACCACCCGGAAUGACAUUGCUUAAAAAUUACUUUGGACACCCACGCACUCUUGCUUUAUGAUCCAGUGGGUUCUAUUCUACCGCUGCCACUUCCACUAAUUUCAUGCAACUACCUUAGAAUUUAUAAAACAAAAACUCAUGACAACACCUAUUUAAAAUUUCACCAUGAGCUGUCGUAAAACCGAAGCGACCACAACCAUCCCGCUCUUACUCCACCAUUACUUUUCAAUUCCAUUUAAAUUUAUCAUCUUCCCAAACACUCAACAAAUUUGGAAACCAAACUUCAACACCCAGAAUUCCGAAAGAAUCCAUAACGUCCCCACGAUUAAAAUACUACAGCCGACAGAAGUCGCUCAAUGUUUUAAAGCUUGCUCGAAGCUCUAAACUUUUGAUGACACCAUUCAAUUUGCAAUAAUUCCCCGACCGCGACACAACAUCAAGUUGUCACAACGCACUGACGAAUGACUUUUGUAAAACCAACAAUCCAAGUCAUUCUACUUAGUGCUUUAACAAACUUCAACUAACCCACAAUAGAGACCAAAAUCAUCAGAAAUCUUACUAUUCAUCGACUACUAACAUCCAUCAUUUUCAAAAUAUAUUACCACUACCAUCUGGAUAAAAUGCUCUAAGGAUAGAAACAUAUCCAUAAUUAGCACUGUAGAAACCAGAACAUAUACCGCCAUAACCAAAAUUAUCCCAACAUGUUCCCAAUUGAUUUAUGUUGCAGAUAAAAUUUUUGGCAAAAUGGUCUUCAAUCAAGACUUAUCUAAAUUGACAUUUAGCUCUUUAUGCAGCAAUACCUUACCACCCAAUCACUAGCCACAAAUUUCCUAAAACCUUGAUUAACCCAAGACUAGGGUCCUCAACAACUCAUAUAGGUACCCAUUUGAAUUACCAUUGGAUACCUCACCUCAUCAUUUCAACUAACUUUUUCAUCAAUAGAAUACACCACUACUUCGAACUUUCCUUCCAACUUAACUCUCUCAGAAGUCACGUAACUCAAUACCAAAAUCUCCCAUCAAUCAAUUUUUGACUCCAAUCUUGCCCACUAAAAAAAAAUGGACAACUUCAAGGCAUUAAUCAUCAACAUUUCACCCAACAGAUUUGCACAAGAUGCUCACCUUAGCAUCUUAAUCUGAAACCUUAAUCUUAAUUAACCCAAUCAAUCAUUGGAUACCUGAAAGGAAUGCUAACAAGCUUUUUCGUUCCCCACUCGCAAAACAACUCCAACAAUUAAUAUCAAAGAUAUUAAUUUAAUGAACCUUGGAAUAGGUGCAAACUAUACAUCUUUUCAAAACUCGAAGGAUGAACACUCAAGAGGUCAGCGUACGGAGGCAUAGUCUUAGAGAUGUAGACAUUUAUGGCACACUACUGUCCAUAAAUAAAAGAAGAACAACUACAUCACAACCUUAAUCAACACAUAGUGUCUUCAGCAUAUAAUGCUAAUAGAUCCGCCGCGGUCAGACCAUCACUCUAUAGACACUGAGCAUGACCAAGAAUAUGAGGUAGUACUAAAAAGAGAAAGGAAACGAAUAACCUAGUGCUCUGAUACCAACUGACACGAUCCACCCCAAAUUUCACCCUGAAACCCAGAGUAAGUCGUGCGGGGACCAACUCCAAGGAAAAUUUUACUGAAAAAUCGGCAUAACCUCCCUUGAAAAUGGACAAUCCUUCCUAAUAAUACCUGCAAACAUUUUUGAAAAUUUAAAUCCAACCUUAAACUCCUGGAGCCUCCGUGCUCCCCAAAUCACAACACCACCCAAAUUAUUUACUAAUCUAAACAAAUCUUAUAUCCAACCAUUUAUAGGUUCAGAGCAACUCUAACAGGAAGAAAGAAAACAUAAUAAAUUAACAAGCGGAAGCUAUAUAAUGACUAUGCCUCAUCCCCAUGUACGCCCGACCUCAACUAUGCAAUCCUGCAAACUGGGCAUUUUUAAAACGAAAAGCCCAGGGGAAAACAUCUAAAACACCCUAGAACUUCCACCUCUAAUUUCUCCUUACCUGAAGCGAACCGGAGUGAGCCCUUUUAGGGCAAGGUAGCUGGGUUGGAGACCUUCAAAACCAUACCAAGCUUGCCCGGAUUGGUGGCCGGAGGAGGGAGUUCCGGCGAAGUGAAGCUUUGGACAGUCGGACCUUUCGGGUGACACCACUCUCUCACGGCGGAGCUAGGGCUCCUCUCACCGGUCCAAGGAGGUUGCUGGGUUGGAGAUCAACCGAACGGGACCGGUGCGGCGGCGGUUGGUGGCCGGACGGCGGCGGGAGGACGGCCGGAAAACCGGGCAGCGGGAGGAGCUCGGGGAGAGAGAAAACCGGGAAGAAAAAAAAAGAGAAUGGAGAAAAUGGCUUUGGGCCUCCUCCCCCAAAACCGGUCCAACUUAAUACCCAUUUAAAACAAACCCAACUCCAAAAAUAAAACACUCCGAAUAAAAAUUAC